GGAGUUUGGACCGUUUCUCAGUUCCAAUGUGGCCGAUCACCCUCUCAGGUCGGCUACCGAUCGUCGCCUUGGUGGGCCGUUACCUCACCAACCAGCUAAUCGGACGCGAGCUCACCCCAAACCGGAUUCCUCCUUUUACCCCGAAACCAUGUGAUCUCGUGGUCUUAUGCGGUAUUAGCACCUGUUUCCAAGUGUUAUCCCCCUGUCUGGGACAGAUUGCUCACGCGUUACUCACCCGUCCGCCGCUAAAACAGAAAACCGAAGUCUUCUGUCUCCGCUCGACUUGCAUGUGUUAAGCACGCCGCCAGCGUUCGUC
RNAcentral lists this ribosomal RNA (316 nucleotides) under uncultured Coriobacteriales bacterium. RNAcentral describes it as "partial 16S ribosomal RNA". Lineage: Bacteria; Bacillati; Actinomycetota; Coriobacteriia; Coriobacteriales. The record is from RNAcentral.